GACGAACGCUGGCGGCGUGCCUAAUACAUGCAAGUCGAACGAGAGCGACCGGUGCUUGCACUGGUCAAUCUAGUGGCGAACGGGUGAGUAACACGUGGGUAACCUGCCCAUCAGAGGGGGAUAACAUUCGGAAACGGAUGCUAAAACCGCAUAGGUUCUACAGUCGCAUGACUGAAGAAGGAAAAGAGGCUUCGGCUUCUGCUGAUGGAUGGACCCGCGGUGCAUUAGCUAGUUGGUGAGGUAACGGCUCACCAAGGCCGUGAUGCAUAGCCGACCUGAGAGGGUGAUCGGCCACAUUGGGACUGAGACACGGCCCAAACUCCUACGGGAGGCAGCAGUAGGGAAUCUUCCGCAAUGGACGCAAGUCUGACGGAGCAACGCCGCGUGAGUGAAGAAGGAUUUCGGUUCGUAAAACUCUGUUGUUAGAGAAGAACAGCGCAUAGAGUAACUGUUAUGCGUGUGACGUAUUUAACCAGAAAGCC
RNAcentral lists this ribosomal RNA (482 nucleotides) under Granulicatella elegans. RNAcentral describes it as "bacterial SSU rRNA". It matches the Rfam family "Bacterial small subunit ribosomal RNA", at positions 28 to 492 of the family's 1533-position model. Lineage: Bacteria; Bacillati; Bacillota; Bacilli; Lactobacillales; Carnobacteriaceae. The record is from RNAcentral.